ACGGAAGCUUUGUCUUUUGAGGGGAAUGUUGUCUGGCUCGAGGACCCUUCUUCAUCUUGAUCUUGUGUAGACUACUAUGCUUGUGGUCAAGGAAUACAUAGUGUUGUCGGACCAGGCUUCAUUCCCCCCAAUUAUAUGCUUCCAAA
RNAcentral lists this microRNA precursor (146 nucleotides) under Glycine max (soybean). RNAcentral describes it as "miR166a stem-loop (gma-MIR166a)". Its record names the gene gma-MIR166a. The stretch from base 16 to 132 matches the Rfam family "mir-166 microRNA precursor family". Rfam says of the family: This family represents the plant microRNA (miRNA) precursor mir-166. Animal miRNAs are transcribed as ~70nt precursors and subsequently processed by the Dicer enzyme to give a ~22nt product. Lineage: Eukaryota; Viridiplantae; Streptophyta; Magnoliopsida; Fabales; Fabaceae. The record is from miRBase by way of RNAcentral.